UGGGGAAUAUUGGACAAUGGGGGGAACCCUGAUCCAGCAAUGCCGCGUGUGUGAAGAAGGCCUGCGGGUUGUAAAGCACUUUCAGUGGGGAGGAGAGUUGAUUGGUUAAGAGCUGAUUAAUGAGACGUUACCCAGAGAAGAAGCACCGGCUAACUCCGUGCCAGCAGCCGCGGUAAUACGGAGGGUGCGAGCGUUAAUCGGAAUUACUGGGCGUAAAGGGUGCGUAGGUGGUUUGAUAAGAUAUCUGUGAAAGCCCUGGGCUCAACCUGGGAAGGUCAGAUAAGACUGUUAGACUGGAGUAUGGGAGAGGGUAGUGGAAUUUCCGGUGUAGCGGUGAAAUGCGUAGAGAUCGGAAGGAACACCAGUGGCGAAGGCGGCUACCUGGACUGAUACUGACACUGAAGCACGAAAGCGUGGGGAGCAAACAGG
This 429-nucleotide ribosomal RNA is filed under the name uncultured bacterium. RNAcentral describes it as "bacterial SSU rRNA". It matches the Rfam family "Bacterial small subunit ribosomal RNA", at positions 355 to 776 of the family's 1533-position model. The record is from RNAcentral.